AUUGAACGCUGGCGGCAUGCUUUACACAUGCAAGUCGAACGGUAACAGGUUAAGCUGACGAGUGGCGAACGGGUGAGUAAUGCAUCGGAACGUGCCCGGUCGUGGGGGAUAACGCAGCGAAAGCUGCGCUAAUACCGCAUACGAUCUGAGGAUGAAAGCGGGGGACCGUAAGGCCUCGCGCGAUCGGAGCGGCCGAUGUCAGGUUAGGUAGUUGGUGGGGUAAAGGCUCACCAAGCCAACGAUCUGUAGCUGGUCUGAGAGGACGACCAGCCACACUGGGACUGAGACACGGCCCAGACUCCUACGGGAGGCAGCAGUGGGGAAUUUUGGACAAUGGGCGAAAGCCUGAUCCAGCAAUGCCGCGUGCAGGAAGAAGGCCUUCGGGUUGUAAACUGCUUUUGUACGGAGCGAAAGGGUCUCCUCUAAUACAGGGGGCUCAUGACGGUACCGUAAGAAUAAGCACCGGCUAACUACGUGCCAGCCGCCGCGGUAA
Molecule: ribosomal RNA, 493 nt
Filed under: uncultured bacterium
Lineage: Bacteria
Description: partial 16S ribosomal RNA
Rfam family: Bacterial small subunit ribosomal RNA
Source: RNAcentral